This 465-nucleotide ribosomal RNA is filed under the name uncultured bacterium. Its description in RNAcentral is "partial 16S ribosomal RNA". It matches the Rfam family "Bacterial small subunit ribosomal RNA", at positions 28 to 507 of the family's 1533-position model. The record is from RNAcentral.
GGCGAACGCUGGCGGCGUGCUUAACACAUGCAAGUCGAACGCUGAACCCGCUUCGGUGGGGGAUGAGUGGCGAACGGGUGAGUAACACGUGGGCAACCUGCCCCCGGCUCUGGGAUAACUCCAAGAAAUUGGGGCUAAUACCGGAUGUGACCGCUGGCCGCAUGGUCUGGUGGUGGAAAGGGUUUCCGGCUGGGGAUGGGCCCGCGGCCUAUCAGCUUGUUGGUGGGGUAGUGGCCUACCAAGGCGACGACGGGUAGCCGGCCUGAGAGGGUGACCGGCCACACUGGGACUGAGACACGGCCCAGACUCCUACGGGAGGCAGCAGUGGGGAAUAUUGCGCAAUGGGCGGAAGCCUGACGCAGCGACGCCGCGUGGGGGAUGACGGCCUUCGGGUUGUAAACCUCUUUCAGCAGGGACGAAGCGCAAGUGACGGUACCUGCAGAAGAAGCACCGGCCAACUACGUG